AUUUGACUCUCCUGUGAAGUACCACCCUUAUCUUUAUGUUGUUCCCUGUGAGUUAUCUAAAUUUAAAUCUUUACUUUCUGGAUUAGGUGUCAAGUUAACUUUUGAUGCAACUGAUUAUGUGCAUGUACUGCAACGCCUGCAACAUGAUGUCAAAGAAGAACCAUUAUCUGCUGAACAGUUAGGGUUUGUUCGUCGUGUUUUGGAAGCUUUUUCUGAUUGUUUUACUGAGAAGCAUGUACCUGAUGUGUUAAUAAACUCACUUCUCAUUCCUGAUUCAUUGGGGAUACUGAUGCCUGCUUUAGCUCUUGUCUACAAUGAUGCAGCAUGGAUGAAGAACAUUUCCCCUGGUGAGAAGCAUCUUGUGCAUCCAAGUAUCAAUGAUGAUCUUGCCAAAAUCCUUGGUGUUCAAUCACUACGGAACUUGUCAUUAGUUGAUGAGCAGACAACUAGGGACCUGCCAUGCAUUGAUUAUGCUAGCAUCUGCGAGCUGUUGGCAUUUAUGGUGAAAGUGACUUUGUACAUCUUUUAGAGUUGGCUGACAAAUGCAAAGCAAAGAAAUUGCACCAGAUAUAUGACAAACGGGAACAUCCUCGACAAUCUUUGCUCCAACAGAAUUUAGGUGACUUCCAGGCUGCUUCUUUGACAGUUGUUUUUGAAGGAACAACGUUAAGCAUGGAAGAAGUAUGCAGUCUGCACCUGCCUCCACCAUGGAAAGUUCAAGGCAGUGCUCUUUACUAUGGGCUGGGAAUGAUUAGUGGAUACUUCCUCUGUGACCUCAUGACUAUUGUUUCUGGAGGUUAUUUUUACAUUUUUGAUCCUCUUGGCUUGGCUCUAUCUGCACACUCAAAUGGUGCCCCUUCUGCAAGAUUAUUUUCUCUAAUAGUGUUAGUUACUUGGCCAUGCUGCUCUAGAUUUUGAAAAGGUGGUGCAGGAUCAUGUAUAUGAUUAUGAUAUUUUGCAAGGUGAACUGCUUUUGAUGCCAUUGCUUUCUCACUAGGAGCUCCUUUGCAGGGAAGUUAGCAGCCCGUGCAUGCAUCCAAGUAACGUAAAUAUGAUAAGGUUAUUUUUGUGUUCCUCACUAUCAUGGGAGAUAUUACUUGUCUGACCACAAAAUUUUGUAUUAAUACA
Molecule: long non-coding RNA, 1128 nt
Organism: Zingiber officinale
Lineage: Eukaryota; Viridiplantae; Streptophyta; Magnoliopsida; Zingiberales; Zingiberaceae
Exons: 3
Source: RefSeq, a predicted model, not a curated record